GUCCAUUUCCACAGUGAGUCUCUGGAGCCCCACCUUUGUUGGCGUGAACUGGAAUUGGGUACGCAGAGUUUUUCUGGGCUGCACCAAACCUAAUCUGAAAUACAGGAAAAGGGGAUGCGGACCCCUUUUGGACCACCCACUGCUCCUGUUUCCUCUCCAAGGAGCAACAUCAGCUUGUGCAGUUCUCUGCAGCUCAGGGUGGCCCUGGGCCUACCCCCAGGCUUUGCCUCUACCUCCAUCACGAGCAGUUGGGUUCAGAAUCUGCCAUCUGCUAUAACCAGGCAAAUCAGGCCGGCUCAUCCAGCACUCUGUGUACAUCUGGAAGAUCCUGAAGGAAGAUAACUCUGGAAGCUGUGGAGGACGGUCUGAUGUGGCCCUGAGGAGAGAGGCAUCACACACUGAAAUAGCCUUAAGAAAUGGCCUCAUGACCACAGGCUUUGGGACCUGCCAACUCCAUCUGGCCUGAACACUGAAGGUUAUGGGGAGGCCCAGGUAGGGCUAUGCCUGACAGGCCAGAGUGGGGCAUGGAACAGGGGAAGAUCUGCCAGCUGGAGAAGCCCAGAAGAAAAUUCUAAGCCCGUUGCUUCAAUGGCUUC
Non-coding RNA from Manis javanica (Malayan pangolin), 596 nucleotides. The record is from RefSeq and is a predicted model, not a curated record. Lineage: Eukaryota; Metazoa; Chordata; Mammalia; Pholidota; Manidae.